Molecule: ribosomal RNA, 429 nt
Filed under: Acidobacteriota bacterium
Lineage: Bacteria; Pseudomonadati; Acidobacteriota
Description: Acidobacteria bacterium partial 16S ribosomal RNA
Rfam family: Bacterial small subunit ribosomal RNA
Source: RNAcentral
UGGGGAAUUUUGGACAAUGGGGGAAACCCUGAUCCAGCCAUCCCGCGUGUGCGAUGAAGGCCUUCGGGUUGUAAAGCACUUUUGGCAGGAAAGAAACGUCAUGGGUUAAUACCCCGUGAAACUGACGGUACCUGCAGAAUAAGCACCGGCUAACUACGUGCCAGCAGCCGCGGUAAUACGUAGGGUGCAAGCGUUAAUCGGAAUUACUGGGCGUAAAGCGUGCGCAGGCGGUUCGGAAAGAAGGAUGUGAAAUCCCAGAGCUCAACUUUGGAACUGCAUUUGUAACUACCGGGCUAGAGUGUGUCAGAGGGAGGUGGAAUUCCGCGUGUAGCAGUGAAAUGCGUAGAUAUGCGGAGGAACACCGAUGGCGAAGGCAGCCUCCUGGGAUAACACUGACGCUCAUGCACGAAAGCGUGGGGAGCAAACAGG